This 1047-nucleotide long non-coding RNA is filed under the name Canis lupus familiaris (dog). RNAcentral describes it as "lncRNA (ENSCAFG00000052474.1)". The record is from RNAcentral. Lineage: Eukaryota; Metazoa; Chordata; Mammalia; Carnivora; Canidae.
CUCAGCUGGGUCCUUUGCUUGGGGUUUCACGAGGCUACAAUGAAGGUAUUUGCCACACUGCAACUUUACCUGGAGCACAGGGUUCUCUGUCAAGGCUACUAGUUGUUGGCAAAAUUAAUUGCCUUUCAGACGUGGGUACCCUUUUUCUUGCUGGAUCCACCAGGGUCAUUCUCAGUUCCCGGGGCCACACCUCUCCAUCAGCGGUUCAGAACACCUGUUUUCUUCCUUGGGGGCAGCAGGAACACCUCUCUUUCUGACUUCUGUUUUUAAAGAGCUUGUCUGAUUAGAUCAGGCUCAUUCAAAAAUAAUCUUCCUUUUGGUAACUCAAAGGCAACUGACUAGUAGCUUAAUUAUAAUCAUGCAGGGCAUGUAACAUGGGAGGAACAGAAUUUGGGGGUGGGGAACAUUUUAGAAGUCUGUCUAAAAUGCUCAGUGUUUUCAUGAACACUGGAAGGUUGGCACAAGAUGAGGAAGAAAAUUGCAACAUGUCCUUCUGGGAGGUAAACCUGACCUCUCAUGUUUUCUCCUCCCUCCUUGCUUCUGCCUUUUAAGGACUCAUUCUUCUCUAGGAAGGGAAACUGGAGGAGGAUUCAUUGGUCCUUGCUAUUCAGAAAGCUGUGGCCUGAGUUUUUCUAUUGCCAAGCCAAAUAUGAGCUCCAUACAGGAACAAGGGAAAGAAUCCUGGUUGACAGAAAGAGAUGUAACAGGAAGCGUGUGCCAGGUAAGUGAAGGAUGAUUAAGAACAAUAUUGGCCUAGGAUGAUUAAGAACAAUAUUGGCCUAUAGGUAAUGGUCAAGAAGGUCAGCAAGUUGGAGCUCCUUUGAGACAAUGCCUGGGAAGGUCCUGUAGCAAUCCCUAGUGUUCAGAUUAGAGCAUUACUCCCAUCAGCGUGAGCUCCUGGGGGGGCCUCUCUUGUACUCACAUGGACCACUCCCUGUGCCUGCCUCCAUUCUUUUUUUAAAUGUAUAUUUUUAAAUUGGAGUUUGAUUUGCCAACAUACAGUAUAACACCCAGUACUCAUCCCGUCAAGUGCUCCCCUCAGUGCCU